This is a long non-coding RNA of Esox lucius (northern pike), 1018 nucleotides long. RefSeq lists it as uncharacterized. Lineage: Eukaryota; Metazoa; Chordata; Actinopteri; Esociformes; Esocidae. The transcript has 3 exons. The record is from RefSeq and is a predicted model, not a curated record.
AUCAGGGUGCUGGUUCUGCUCAAGACGAUCCAGUGUCCCUCAAGAAAGUCCAGUGUUGUUCAAUCAUCCUCGUGAACUGUGACUUCAAAGAACUAUCCUGGCGGAAACCUUUUGCACAAAUGGAAAGAAGUCAAAACCUGGCAGAAGACAGACACUUGUGAUGGCUCUCUUUAAGGUUUUAAUGGUUCUUGAAGGAUUUUCAGGGAAUGACCAAGAUUUCAAACUGUCAAGAAAAGGAUAACAGAGCCAAUAGAAAGUUUUUGGCAGCCAUGUCAAGAGGCAACAGAUGUGUACAAGUGUGGAAGAGGCCUUUCCUAGAAAUGACCAAAAGGCACUGUGACUCAUGAGAAACUUUCUGUGCUGGAUUGGCUUCCCUGCCAGACUUCAGCACCCCAACUUUGAGGAUGCAGUAGUGAAGGAGCUCUGCAAGAUCACAGGAAUAACCAAGACCCACUCAUGUCCCCAUCACCCUCAGGGGAACAGCGCUACUGAGAGGUUUAACAGGACACUUGUACAGAUAUAUAGGUGAUUCAGCAGGACACUUGUACAGGUAUAUAGGGGAUUCAGCAGGACACCUACAGAUAUAUAGGGCACUUCAACUGUAUCUCGGUUGUACAGCCCAAAGAGUUAAUCACUUGACUCUGGUACAGCCCAAAGAGUUCAUCACCUGACUCCGACACAGCCCAAAGAGUUCAUCACCUGACUCCGACACAGCCCAAAGAGUUCAUCAACUGACUAUGGUACAGCUCAAAGAGUUCAUCACCUGACUCUGGUACAGCUCAAAGAGUUUAUCACCUGACUCUGGUACAGCUCAAAGAGUUUAUCACCUGACUCUGGUACAGCCCAAAGAGUUCAUCACUUUGAUUAAAUUGACUGCUUGUCCUCAACCACAACCUGAACUCUCCAUUGCCACCUUUCUUCCACAAAGAUCCACUAACAACAUGGAAAUAAAACACAACGCAAGGCAGUGGUGGUUCGGGACAUCAAGAUGAAGAGUUAUGUAAAAAAAUACUAAUAA